GACGAACGCUGGCGGCGUGCUUAACACAUGCAAGUCGAACGGAAAGGCCCUGCUUUUGUGGGGUGCUCGAGUGGCGAACGGGUGAGUAACACGUGAGUAACCUGCCCUUGACUUUGGGAUAACUUCAGGAAACAGGGGCUAAUAUCGGAUAGGAGCUCCUGCUGCAUGGGGGGGGUUGGAAAGUUUCGGCGUUUGGGGAUGGACUAGCGGCUUCUCCGCUUGUUGGUGGGGUAGGGGCUUACAAAGGCUUUGACGGGUAGCCGGCCUGAGAGGGUGAACGGCCACAUUGGGACUGAGAUACGGCGCAGACUCCUACGGGAGGCAACAGGGGGGAAUAUUGCACAAUGGGCGGAAGCCUGAUGCAGCAGCGCCGCGUGCGGAAAGACGGCCUUCGGGUUAUGAACAGCUUUCGCCUGUGACGAAGCGUGAGUGACGGUAAUGGGUAAAGAAGCACCGGCUAACUACGUG
Molecule: ribosomal RNA, 468 nt
Filed under: uncultured bacterium
Lineage: Bacteria
Description: partial 16S ribosomal RNA
Rfam family: Bacterial small subunit ribosomal RNA
Source: RNAcentral